GUAGUUAGCCGGGGCUUCCUCACAGGGUACCGUCACUUCUUCGUCCCCUGCGACAGAGGUUUACAAUCCGAAAACCUUCUUCCCUCACGCGGCGUUGCUGGGUCAGGCUUGCGCCCAUUGCCCAAUAUUCCCCACUGCUGCCUCCCGUAGGAGUCUGGACCGUGUCUCAGUUCCAGUGUGGCCGAUCAGCCUCUCAGCUCGGCUACCCAUCGUCGGCUUGGUGGGCUGUUAUCUCACCAACUACCUAAUGGGACGCGAACCCCUCUUACAGCGAUAAAUCUUUGACCUCAUCCCGAUGCCGGGUCGUGGUCUCAUGCGGUAUUAGCACCUGUUUCCAAGUGUUAUCCCCCUCUGUAAGGCAGGUUGUUCACGCGUUACUCACCCGUUCGCCACUAGAAUUAUAAAUUCCAUCCGAAAACUUCCUUCAUAAUCCCCGUUCGACUUGCAUGUGUUAGGCACGCCGCCAGCGUUCGUCCUGAGCCACGGAUCAAACUACUGA
This 499-nucleotide ribosomal RNA is filed under the name uncultured bacterium. RNAcentral describes it as "partial 16S ribosomal RNA". The record is from RNAcentral.